CAGCCGCCGCGGUAAUACGAAGGGUGCAAGCGUUACUCGGAAUUACUGGGCGUAAAGCGUGCGUAGGUGGUGGUUUAAGUCCGUUGUGAAAGCCCUGGGCUCAACCUGGGAAUUGCAGUGGAUACUGGGUCACUAGAGUGUGGUAGAGGAUAGUGGAAUUUCCGGUGUAGCAGUGAAAUGCGUAGAGAUCGGAAGGAACAUCUGUGGCGAAGGCGACUAUCUGGGCCAACACUGACACUGAGGCACGAAAGCGUGGGGAGCAAACAGGAUUAGAUACCCCCGUAGUCCCUGUCUCUUAUAC
RNAcentral lists this ribosomal RNA (301 nucleotides) under uncultured bacterium. Its description in RNAcentral is "partial 16S ribosomal RNA". It matches the Rfam family "Bacterial small subunit ribosomal RNA", at positions 509 to 807 of the family's 1533-position model. The record is from RNAcentral.